UGGCUCUAGCAUCGAUGAAGAACGCAGCGAAACGCGAUAGCUAGUGUGAAUCGCAGAAUUCAGUGAAUCAUCGAGUCUUUGAACGCACAUUGCGCCUACUGGUAUCCCAGCAGGCAUGCCCGUUCGAGCGUCAUUUCAAUCCUCAGGCCCUGCCUGGUAUUGGAGUUCUACUGUACUGGUAGGCUCCCAAGUCUAGUAGCAUGGUUGUUAUUCCACCAAGUGCAGUAAAUUACCAUCACUUUGGUGCUGUGGCUCUUCAUUGCUAUAAACUCCUUACUCAGUUGACCUCGGAUCGGGUAGGGUUACCCGCUGA
This 313-nucleotide unclassified non-coding RNA is filed under the name uncultured fungus. RNAcentral's name for it is "partial contains 5.8S ribosomal RNA and internal transcribed spacer 2". The stretch from base 1 to 133 matches the Rfam family "5.8S ribosomal RNA", at positions 22 to 154 of the family's 154-position model. The record is from RNAcentral. Lineage: Eukaryota; Fungi.